RNAcentral lists this ribosomal RNA (1127 nucleotides) under Vibrio cholerae. Its description in RNAcentral is "partial 23S ribosomal RNA". It matches the Rfam family "Bacterial large subunit ribosomal RNA", at positions 1 to 1188 of the family's 2925-position model. The record is from RNAcentral. Lineage: Bacteria; Pseudomonadati; Pseudomonadota; Gammaproteobacteria; Vibrionales; Vibrionaceae.
AGUGACUAAGCGUACACGGUGGAUGCCUGGGCAGUCAGAGGCGAUGAAGGACGUACUAACUUGCGAUAAGCGCAGAUAAGGCAGUAAGAGCCGUUUGAGUCUGCGAUUUCCGAAUGGGGAAACCCAACUGCAUAAGCAGUUACUGUUAACUGAAUACAUAGGUUAACAGAGCAAACCGGGGGAACUGAAACAUCUAAGUACCCCGAGGAGAAGAAAUCAACCGAGAUUCCGGUAGUAGCGGCGAGCGAACCUGGAUUAGCCCUUAAGCACUCGGUGAAGUAGGUGAACAAGCUGGAAAGCUUGGCGAUACAGGGUGAUAGCCCCGUAACCGACGCUUCAUCGAGCGUGAAAUCGAGUAGGGCGGGACACGUGAUAUCCUGUCUGAAUAUGGGGGGACCAUCCUCCAAGGCUAAAUACUCCUGACUGACCGAUAGUGAACCAGUACCGUGAGGGAAAGGCGAAAAGAACCCCUGUGAGGGGAGUGAAAUAGAACCUGAAACCGUGUACGUACAAGCAGUAGGAGCACCUUCGUGGUGUGACUGCGUACCUUUUGUAUAAUGGGUCAGCGACUUAUAUUCAGUGGCAAGGUUAACCGUAUAGGGGAGCCGUAGCGAAAGCGAGUCUUAACUGGGCGCUCAGUCUCUGGAUAUAGACCCGAAACCGGGUGAUCUAGCCAUGGGCAGGUUGAAGGUUGAGUAACAUCAACUGGAGGACCGAACCGACUAAUGUUGAAAAAUUAGCGGAUGACUUGUGGCUAGGGGUGAAAGGCCAAUCAAACUCGGAGAUAGCUGGUUCUCCCCGAAAGCUAUUUAGGUAGCGCCUCGGACGAAUACUACUGGGGGUAGAGCACUGUUAAGGCUAGGGGGUCAUCCCGACUUACCAACCCUUUGCAAACUCCGAAUACCAGUAAGUACUAUCCGGGAGACACACGGCGGGUGCUAACGUCCGUCGUGGAGAGGGAAACAACCCAGACCGCCAGCUAAGGUCCCAAAGUAUUGCUAAGUGGGAAACGAUGUGGGAAGGCUCAGACAGCUAGGAUGUUGGCUUAGAAGCAGCCAUCAUUUAAAGAAAGCGUAAUAGCUCACUAGUCGAGUCGGCCUGCGCGGAAGAUGUAACGGGGCUAAGCA